GGGUUGUGAGGUUAAGCGACUAAGCGUACACGGUGGAUGCCCUGGCAGUCAGAGGCGAUGAAGGACGUGCUAAUCUGCGAAAAGCGUCGGUAAGGUGAUAUGAACCGUUAUAACCGGCGAUGUCCGAAUGGGGAAACCCAGUGUGAUUCGUCACACUAUCGUUAACUGAAUACAUAGGUUAACGAGGCGAACCGGGGGAACUGAAACAUCUAAGUACCCCGAGGAAAAGAAAUCAACCGAGAUUCCCCCAGUAGCGGCGAGCGAACGGGGAGCAGCCCAGAGUCUGAAUCAGCUUGUGUGUUAGUGGAACGGUCUGGAAAGUCCGACGGUACAGGGUGAUAGUCCCGUACACCAAAAUGCACAGGCUGUGAACUCGAAGAGUAGGGCGGGACACGUGGUAUCCUGUCUGAAUAUGGGGGGACCAUCCUCCAAGGCUAAAUACUCCUGACUGACCGAUAGUGAACCAGUACCGUGAGGGAAAGGCGAAAAGAACCCCGGCGAGGGGAGUGAAAAAGAACCUGAAACCGUGUACGUACAAGCAGUGGGAGCACCUUCGGGUGUGACUGCGUACCUUUUGUAUAAUGGGUCAGCGACUUAUAUUCUGUAGCAAGGUUAACCGUAUAGGGGAGCCGCAGGGAAACCGAGUCUUAACUGGGCGUUAAGUUGCAGGGUAUAGACCCGAAACCCGGUGAUCUAGCCAUGGGCAGGUUGAAGGUUGGGUAACACUAACUGGAGGACCGAACCGACUAAUGUUGAAAAAUUAGCGGAUGACUUGUGGCUGGGGGUGAAAGGCCAAUCAAACCGGGAGAUAGCUGGUUCUCCCCGAAAGCUAUUUAGGUAGCGCCUCGUGAACUCAUCUUCGGGGGUAGAGCACUGUUUCGGCUAGGGGGUCAUCCCGACUUACCAACCCGAUGCAAACUACGAAUACCGAAGAAUGUUAUCACGGGAGACACACGGCGGGUGCUAACGUCCGUCGUGAAGAGGGAAACAACCCAGACCGCCAGCUAAGGUCCCAAAGUCAUGGUUAAGUGGGAAACGAUGUGGGAAGGCACAGACAGCCAGGAUGUUGGCUUAGAAGCAGCCAUCAUUUAAAGAAAGCGUAAUAGCUCACUGGUCGAGUCGGCCUGCGCGGAAGAUGUAACGGGGCUAAACCAUGCACCGAAGCUGCGGCAGCGACACUAUGUGUUGUUGGGUAGGGGAGCGUUCUGUAAGCCUGCGAAGGUGUGCUGUGAGGCAUGCUGGAGGUAUCAGAAGUGCGAAUGCUGACAUAAGUAACGAUAAAGCGGGUGAAAAGCCCGCUCGCCGGAAGACCAAGGGUUCCUGUCCAACGUUAAUCGGGGCAGGGUGAGUCGACCCUAAGGCGAGGCCGAAAGGCGUAGUCGAUGGGAAACAGGUUAAUAUUCCUGUACUUGGUGUUACUGCGAAGGGGACGGAGAAGGCUAUGUUAGCCGGGCGACGGUUGUCCCGGUUUAAGCAUGUAGGCUGGUUAUCCGCAAAUCCGGAUAAUCAAGGCUGAGGUGUGAUGACGAGGCACUACGGUGCUGAAGUAACAAAUGCCCUGCUUCCGGAAAAGCCUCUAAGCAUCAGGUAACAUCAAAUCGUACCCCAAACCGACACAGGUGGUCAGGUAGAGAAUACCAAGGCGCUUGAGAGAACUCGGGUGAAGGAACUAGGCAAAAUGGUGCCGUAACUUCGGGAGAAGGCACGCUGGUGUGUAGGUGAAGUCCCUGCGGAUGGAGCUGAGACCAGUCGAAGAUACCAGCUGGCUGCAACUGUUUAUUAAAACACAGCACUGUGCAAACACGAAAGUGGACGUAUACGGUGUGACGCCUGCCCGGUGCCGGAAGGUUAAUUGAUGGGGUUAUCCGUAAGGAGAAGCUCUUGAUCGAAGCCCGGUAAACGGCGGCCGUAACUAUAACGGUCCUAAGGUAGCGAAAUUCCUUGUCGGGUAAGUUCCGACCUGCACGAAUGGCGUAAUGAUGGCGGGCUGUCUCCACCCGAGACUCAGUGAAAUUGAACUCGCUGUGAAGAUGCAGUGUACCCGCGGCAAGACGGAAAGACCCCGUGAACCUUUACUAUAGCUUGACACUGAACAUUGAGCCUUGAUGUGUAGGAUAGGUGGGAGGCUUUGAAGCGUGGACGCCAGUCUGCGUGGAGCCAACCUUGAAAUACCACCCUUUAAUGUUUGAUGUUCUAACGUUGGCCCCUGACCGGGGUUGCGGACAGUGUCUGGUGGGUAGUUUGACUGGGGCGGUCUCCUCCCAAAGCGUAACGGAGGAGCACGAAGGUUAGCUAAUCCUGGUCGGACAUCAGGAGGUUAGUGCAAUGGCAUAAGCUAGCUUGACUGCGAGCGUGACGGCGCGAGCAGGUGCGAAAGCAGGUCAUAGUGAUCCGGUGGUUCUGAAUGGAAGGGCCAUCGCUCAACGGAUAAAAGGUACUCCGGGGGAUAACAGGCUGAUACCGCCCAAGAGUUCAUAUCGACGGCGGUGUUUGGCACCUCGAUGUCGGCUCAUCACAUCCUGGGGCUGAAGUAGGUCCCAAGGGUAUGGCUGUUCGCCAUUUAAAGUGGUACGCGAGCUGGGUUUAGAACGUCGUGAGACAGUUCGGUCCCUAUCUGCCGUGGGCGCUGGAGAAUUGAGGGGGGCUGCUCCUAGUACGAGAGGACCGGAGUGGACGCAUCACUGGUGUUCGGGUUGUCAUGCCAAUGGCACUGCCCGGUAGCUAAAUGCGGAAGAGAUAAGUGCUGAAAGCAUCUAAGCACGAAACUUGCCCCGAGAUGAGUUCUCCCUGAGACUUUAAGUCUCCUGAAGGAACGUUAAAGACGAUGACGUUGAUAGGCCGGGUGUGUAAGCGCAGCGAUGCGUUGAGCUAACCGGUACUAAUGAACCGUGAGGCUUAACCUUACAACGCCGAAG
This 2915-nucleotide ribosomal RNA is filed under the name Klebsiella pneumoniae. Its description in RNAcentral is "23S ribosomal RNA". It matches the Rfam family "Bacterial large subunit ribosomal RNA". The record is from RNAcentral. Lineage: Bacteria; Pseudomonadati; Pseudomonadota; Gammaproteobacteria; Enterobacterales; Enterobacteriaceae.